AUAAUAUUAAAAAAAAUAAUAUUAUUAUAUUUCUAAAUAGAUAAUAGGAUUAUGACAUAAAUUUAUUUAUAAGUCUUGACUAAAUUACGUGCCAGCAGUCGCGGUAAUACGUAGAAGACGAGUGUUAAUCAUCUUUAUUAGGUUUAAAGGGUACCUAGACGGUAAAUUUAAGUUUAAAAAAGCUAAUAGUUUACUAGAGUUUUAUAGGAGAAAGGGAGAACUUUUAGAGUAAAGAUAUAAUUUAUUUAUACUAAAAGGACUGAUAAGAGCGUAGGCAACUUUCUAGUUAAAAACUGACGUUGAGGGACGAAGGCAUGGGUAACGAAAAGGAUUAGAUACCCUAAUAGUCCAAGCAGAAAAUUAUGAAUGCUAUAAGUUAGAGUUUUUUUAUCUUAUAAAUGAAAGUUUAAGC
This 412-nucleotide ribosomal RNA is filed under the name Paracoccidioides brasiliensis. RNAcentral's name for it is "partial small subunit ribosomal RNA". It matches the Rfam family "Bacterial small subunit ribosomal RNA", at positions 427 to 865 of the family's 1533-position model. The record is from RNAcentral. Lineage: Eukaryota; Fungi; Ascomycota; Eurotiomycetes; Onygenales; Ajellomycetaceae.